AUUAUUUCCAUUUUCUGAAUGAUGAAAGCAUAUUUAGUCCACAUUUUUCCUGAUUAUUGUUAAUUUUUUUUAUGUUUUAAUCUUAGUUCCUUCUUUAUGCAGAGACACUGAAUCUUUGUUAUAAGCAGGAUAUAGUGUUUUUUUUUUUCCUUUAAAGGUUAUGGAGAGAAGCAGGAGUAGGGGGUUAACUUUUCUAAGGCUAAUCUUUUCUUCUUUAAUGCCUUGCACAUGAUUGGUAUAAUUAGCUUCAAUUUCAAAUGACACAUAAACAUAGAGACCAUAGCAUUGUGAAUAGUUAGUGUAGUCCCAUGCUAUUAUUAUUGUUACUCAUAAUGUUUUUUCCAAACUUGUACUUUACAAAGCAACUCAGAAGGUUAUGAAGUAUGAAGUAUUUUGUUAUUAGAGUGGUAUAACUGAAAUAAUGGGCCAACUAUCAUGUCAACAUUACCUGAUUCGUUAAUAUUCAUUAACUGUAAAGUUGAAAAAGAAACUUUUCAUGAAGUCCUUUCAUGUUAAUCAUGAAUCACAUUUAACUAUACAAAUGUCCCCAAAUAAGCAUAAUUUAUUUUCUAUUUGUUGCCAGAACUAUACUAAUCAAAAGUAGUAGAUUUUGAUUUUGGGAAAUGUAACUAAUAUUUUUUAAAUAGCACAUUAGCUUUGAUAAUAAGUGCCAAAGGCAUUAAAGUAGCAAUUCCAGGAGAAACCCUUAGAAAAUUAAUGCGUAUUCCAUAAUAGAUGACAUUAACUAAAUAACCUUGUACAGUUUUCUAUGAGUGAUGUGUUUUUAAGUACGUGUACAGGACUGAAUGAUGUUCAUUAGAUACCCAAGUAUUUUUUAUGUUUAGCUCUUUUUUUUUUCUUUUGGUGUGACAUUAAUGUAGCUUUAUGUUGGUUUUUGUCUGAUUAUAUUGCUUUCUUAAUUUGUCUUAUGCUGUACAAUUUAGAACAUACAAGGCUAAUUAUCCUAAACUCUUGGACGCUAUUAUUGUUAUAUUAAUCAGAAGUGAAAACCCAACCAUUCCAAAGGAUUGCAAUUUCAUUUGCUGUAAAUGUGCUGCUUGUAUCAAACCAAUGCAUAGAAGUUACAUUACUUUUAUGUAUUUAUUUUAUGUUCUGUUUUGGACUGUGAUGUAUUUUAUUGAGAUACAUUUGUGACAAGUUAAUUUGGGUACUUUUCUUAACAUUGCUCCUACUUUUCUUUCCUGCUGUUUUGACAAUGCGCUUAUACUAUAUUUGAUGGUGCCUACUGGACAAAAUAGACACAACCAUUCAUGUUGGGACAGAAUAAGCAGUAAACCCUGAGACUCUCGUAAAAGGGAUUUUGCAAGCCUGCUUGCUUGUGUACGUGCAGGUGUGCAUAUUAUUUUGUAGCCAAGUGAAAGACAGACAUGCAAAACAGGAGUUAGGCCCAUGGAACUGUUGCAUGGAACAUGGGCCAAACUGGUACAAAGCACCUGCCACUUGAGCCAUAAAGCAAAUGAACCCACACUGUACAAUUAAUUGAAGUUCAUCACUGGGUUCCUGUAACUAGAGCCUCACUGGGUUGUCACCAAAGACCACUAGAGUGGAUGAAUGUGGGGAUGUUUGCAUUUGCGUUAGCUGGAAUUCAGGCUGCCAUUUCACAAAGCACAUUAGAGUACUUUCAACUGAAAGGAAAAAAUGUUUAUCCUUCAAAUCAUAUGACUCAUUGGGUUAUUCCCAAAUGUGUCUGCCAGAAAGUUCAGGAAACAAAAGAGACCCUUUCAGUUAUGAACAAAGCCACGGUAAACCUAAUGGCUUGCUCAAUGUGUCAAUUGUCCCAGCAACACAUACCUGUGAAGACUUAUGUAGACUGUUGUUUGCCCGUUAUUUCCUAUGGGUUCUUCUGGUCAGUCUAACCCUAAAAUGAAGGGUGUCCACAGGUAGAAUAGCACUGUGCUUGUGCAAGUUAGUUUUUCUCCAAAUAACCUGUGAUUGGCAGCAUAAAUACUAUUCAGUAAUUGUGUGGCCUGGGAGGAAAACCCCCUGACAUCAAGUGUAAGCACAUUGUAGGAAUUACUGGAAACAUCCUCUAAAUAAAAUUGUAAAUGUUUAUCAGGGGAAAAACGUGGUUUUGUUAUUGCUGGCAUCAUGUUGAUACCAUUAAUCCCUCAAAAAUAUUUCAAAUAUGGCGGAUUUAAUUCUGUACUUUCACUGUACAUGAAGGCUUGUAAAAUAUGGUCUUAUUCUUGGUCACUGAUGCUUUUAAAGCAUGUGGUCAUUUGUGUCAGUUUGGUCGUCUCUUAAUCGGUGUGGUCAGACUCAAACACACAACUUACAUUUUGGAAGCAUUCAGCAUCCAGUGGUGUCAGCAGGGACUGUCGUAGCAGCUGUUAAUGAGCACGCAUGACUGGAUUACUAUAGUAGGCUCAACCUCAGAUCCGCCCAUCCCUUUGUUCCCUUUUUUAUGAUGUGUAAACUUCUUUUUACUGAAAACAGCUAUGAGGCCCACCACCUAUGAUAUUUGAUACAGAAUAGAAAAGGGCUGACUGUCUUCUAAUAGGUUUCUCUCUUUUUUUUCAAGACUUCUCAUCUUCUAUCUAUAUGGGAGGAUUCACUUGUAGCUGGAUACCCAAAAUCUAUAGAUAUUAGUGAUGUUAAUUGGUGACAUUCAAUGGCCACAACCAAUUAUUAAAUGUCUUUGUGCUUUUGCACACCAAUGAUGCACAUUGUUUUGUACUGACCAUAAAUCUCCAAUCAUAAAAUGAACAAAUACAGAUGUCGUAUAAAGAAUUUUCGGGAGGUCAUAGACGCUUCGAUCUGUCCUCUAGGCUUUAUGUGUAUACUUGGCUUGCCUUCCUGAUAUAUGUAUUAGUCUUUAUUUUCUGUCACCAUGCAAUGCCUGUUUCUGUGACUACAGCGCAGCUAUAAAGCGCUUUGUACAAAAUAACUCAUAUUUCAACUAUGGCCAGUUCCUCUCUUCAUGACCUCAUUCAAAACCUGCCAUUCAUCACCAUUUUUUAUCUUCUUUUUUUUCCUCAAUCAACCAAAUCACUACAGUGAAGUAUUACAGUUGUACAGUUCCAUGAAUUAUACCAACUCUUAAUGUUGCUGGUCAUGGUUGCUCUGCUGUAUCUUUUUAUGACAUUAUUUUUUACAUUCUAGACAAUAUAUUGUGACUCUGUCCUAUGCAAAUAUGAGAAUUAACAAGAAUUUGUCAAAUAAUGUAUGUGUCAACUUGUAUGCAUGAAAUAGUGAAGUUUACAUUUGAAAAUAAAUGCAUAAAUAAUCAGCUUUA
This is a long non-coding RNA of Ictalurus punctatus (channel catfish), 3256 nucleotides long. Lineage: Eukaryota; Metazoa; Chordata; Actinopteri; Siluriformes; Ictaluridae. The record is from Ensembl.